Molecule: long non-coding RNA, 1600 nt
Organism: Dunckerocampus dactyliophorus (ringed pipefish)
Lineage: Eukaryota; Metazoa; Chordata; Actinopteri; Syngnathiformes; Syngnathidae
Exons: 4
Source: RefSeq, a predicted model, not a curated record
UUUAAACGCAUAAUAACGACGUUCUUGUAAUGUUCCCAGUGUCACUGAAUGCAUCUCGCGGUCGUGUAGUGACAAUGAGGAAGUGUUUUUCCAACGACGAAGGGACAAAAGACGCGUUUAGUGCUACAGCUGUGAAUCCAGCAGAGGGCGCUGUCUCACAAGUCCAUCCACUGAACAUUUUCCAGCAGGAAGAUGCUUUGACAAGAGGGCGGUGGUGUGUCUAGGCCUUCCUCCAUCGGAUGCCGGAGAAAAUGGCAUGCAGGAAGUAGAGAAGUGUGGCCACGUAGGACAUCACCUGGAAACACAAUUGGAUCAGAGUCAGAAGCAGUCUGGACGGGCCAGAUGCUGCUCUGGUUUGCGCCACAGAGGAAGAUGAAGAACCAAAGCGUGGUGAAGACGAAGCAGAAGACGGACACGAACAUUACCCAGCCCAGCGGGUGGUCCGGGAAGACACGAGUGGACGCUACCAGGAUCCACACCAGACCUCCAAACACCUGCAGGGGGCGGAGUCACACAGGUUAGGGUCGGGUACUGAACACUGGUGCAAGUGAUAUAAUGUAUGUCAUGUGCCAUAAAUGCUGUCAUUGUGAAAAGCUGCUGGAUGCUGACCACUCAUGGUACUUGAAAUGCAGCUGCUGCCAUUUUGUGGCGCUAAUUAGAGAUGGUUACCCAGUGACUUUAGGCGUUAAUUGGAGCAUUCACGGCCAUUGAAUUAAACAGAGAUUAUGCCGUAAGAGUUGUUUUUCCCACUGUGUGAAAUUGGACUAGUGGCCCUUUAAGAUGACAACACCAGCAAAUGGCCAGCCUUUAAAAACACACAGAGACAACAGCCAAACUUGUUUUGUUUUUUGUGUUGUUUUUUUAAGUCAUCAUCCCUCCUUUGACAAACAUUCCCCCUGAAAGAGCCUUGGAAGAAAGUAAACACGGACACAUCGUGUUGUAACACAAUACAAUAUUAACAAUAUAGUCCUGAAAUGAAACAAAGAAGGUACGGAAAAAAGCUUAAUUGCACAUAAAAAGGCACCAUUGUUGGCACAGUGAACAAGCCCAUGUCAUGUGACUCUGCGCCUCAUCCAAUCAGCUCUCAGGGAACCGAGGCGACGUGCAGCGUUCUCACAACAUAUCAAGUGUGUCCUUUUACACAUUGCUUGUGUCGUACAAGUGUUGCUCUUUAUGAAACCAACAUGGCCGCCGCCCAAAACCUAUAUCAUUUCUGUUACCCCGAAAAAACAUAGCAAUAAGGAAAGGAUUGUGAAUUAAAUAAUAUUUGUAUGUAGAAACUGUCUAAAAUAUUUGCUGACUUUGAGGCACAUCUGGCCUAUGCAGCAAUAUGUGAGGGUCAAAGUAUUAGAAACAGCAGUAAGUGUGAUGCAUUGCACACUACAACCACAAGACAAUCGUUUUGAAUGGGCCUAUACCACCUGUAGGGAGCCUCUGGCCCUGCCUUUAAGACCAACUUGGUGGCUUUAGGGUUUGCUUUUGAAACCACACAAUGUCACUGCUAACAAUGCUAGCAUGUUGCUAGCAUGCUACCAACCUUUGUGGAUAGAUUGUGAUAACAUCGGAACAUCUCUCGCCUAAGUAGAUAGUUAGUGUUAAA